GACGAACGCUGGCGGCGUGCCUAAUACAUGCCAGUAGAACGCUGAAGGAGGAGCUUGCUUCUCUGGAUGAGUUGCGAACGGGUGAGUAACGCGUAGGUAACCUGCCUGGUAGCGGGGGAUAACUAUUGGAAACGAUAGCUAAUACCGCAUAAUAUUGACUAUUGCAUGAUAGUCAGUUGAAAGGUGCAACUGCACCACUACCAGAUGGACCUGCGUUGUAUUAGCUAGUUGGUGGGGUAACGGCUCACCAAGGCGACGAUACAUAGCCGACCUGAGAGGGUGAUCGGCCACACUGGGACUGAGACACGGCCCAGACUCCUACGGGAGGCAGCAGUAGGGAAUCUUCGGCAAUGGACGGAAGUCUGACCGAGCAACGCCGCGUGAGUGAAGAAGGUUUUCGGAUCGUAAAGCUCGGUUGUAAGAGAAGAACGAGUGUGAGAGUGGAAAGCUCACACUGUGACGGUAUCUUACCAGAAAGGGACGGCUAACUACGUG
This 495-nucleotide ribosomal RNA is filed under the name uncultured bacterium. RNAcentral's name for it is "partial 16S ribosomal RNA". It matches the Rfam family "Bacterial small subunit ribosomal RNA", at positions 28 to 507 of the family's 1533-position model. The record is from RNAcentral.